GCCUGGGUGGCUUAGUCAGUUAAGCGUCUGACUUCGGCUCAGGUCAUGAUCUCACGGUCCGUGAGUUUGAGCCCCACGUCAGGCU
Molecule: transfer RNA, 85 nt
Organism: Felis catus (domestic cat)
Lineage: Eukaryota; Metazoa; Chordata; Mammalia; Carnivora; Felidae
Rfam family: tRNA
About the family: Transfer RNA (tRNA) molecules are approximately 80 nucleotides in length.
Source: Rfam